Molecule: ribosomal RNA, 1013 nt
Filed under: Towyspora aestuari
Lineage: Eukaryota; Fungi; Ascomycota; Dothideomycetes; Pleosporales; Lentitheciaceae
Description: SSU rRNA
Rfam family: Eukaryotic small subunit ribosomal RNA
Source: RNAcentral
UAUACCGUGAAACUGCGAAUGGCUCAUUAAAUCAGUUAUCGUUUAUUUGAUAGUACCUUACUACCUGGAUAACCGUGGUAAUUCUAGAGCUAAUACAUGCUAAAACCCCGACUUCGGAAGGGGUGUAUUUAUUAGAUAAAAAACCAAUGCCCUUCGGGGCUCCUUGGUGAUUCAUAAUAACUUCUCAGAUCGCAUGGCCUUGCGCCGGCGACGGUUCAUUCAAAUUUCUGCCCUAUCAACUUUCGAUGGUAAGGUAUUGGCUUACCAUGGUUUCAACGGGUAACGGGGAAUUAGGGUUCGAUUCCGGAGAGGGAGCCUGAGAAACGGCUACCACAUCCAAGGAAGGCAGCAGGCGCGCAAAUUACCCAAUCCCGACACGGGGAGGUAGUGACAAUAAAUACUGAUACAGGGCUCUUUUGGGUCUUGUAAUUGGAAUGAGUACAAUUUAAACCUCUUAACGAGGAACAAUUGGAGGGCAAGUCUGGUGCCAGCAGCCGCGGUAAUUCCAGCUCCAAUAGCGUAUAUUAAAGUUGUUGCAGUUAAAAAGCUCGUAGUUGAACCUUUGGCCUGGCUGGCAGGUCCGCCUCACCGCGUGCACUUGUCCGGCCGGGCCUUCUCUUCUGGAGAACCGCAUGCCCUUCACUGGGUGUGUUGGGGACCAGGACUUUUACUUUGAAAAAAUUAGAGUGUUCAAAGCAGGCCUUUGCUCGAAUACGUUAGCAUGGAAUAAUAGAAUAGGACGUGCGGUCCUAUUUUGUUGGUUUCUAGGACCGCCGUAAUGAUUAAUAGGGACAGUCGGGGGCAUCAGUAUUCAAUUGUCAGAGGUGAAAUUCUUGGAUUUAUUGAAGACUAACUACUGCGAAAGCAUUUGCCAAGGAUGUUUUCAUUAAUCAGUGAACGAAAGUUAGGGGAUCGAAGACGAUCAGAUACCGUCGUAGUCUUAACCAUAAACUAUGCCGACUAGGGAUCGGGCGGUGUUAUUAUUUUGACUCGCUCGGCACCUUACGAGAAAU